UACGGAAGGUGCGAGCGUUGUUCGGAUUGAUUGGGCGUAAAGCGCACGUAGGCGGGUUUGUAAGUCGGAUGUGAAAGCCCUGGGCUUAACCUAGGAAUUGCAUCCGAAACUGCAGGUCUUGAAUGCUCGAGGGGUUGGUGGAAUUCUUGGUGUAGGAGUGAAAUCCGUAGAUAUCAAGAGGAACACCGGAGGCGAAAGCGGCCAACUGGCGAUGCAUUGACGCUAAGGUGCGAAAGCGUGGGGAGCAAACAGG
RNAcentral lists this unclassified non-coding RNA (253 nucleotides) under uncultured Oligoflexaceae bacterium. Its description in RNAcentral is "contains 16S-23S intergenic spacer region". It matches the Rfam family "Bacterial small subunit ribosomal RNA", at positions 524 to 776 of the family's 1533-position model. The record is from RNAcentral. Lineage: Bacteria; Pseudomonadati; Bdellovibrionota; Oligoflexia; Oligoflexales; Oligoflexaceae.